Molecule: ribosomal RNA, 497 nt
Filed under: uncultured bacterium
Lineage: Bacteria
Description: partial 16S ribosomal RNA
Rfam family: Bacterial small subunit ribosomal RNA
Source: RNAcentral
GAUGAACGCUGGCGGCGUGCCUAAUACAUGCAAGUCGAGCGAACGGACGAGAAGCUUUCUUCUCUGAUGUUAGCGGCGGACGGGUGAUUAACACGUGUAUAACCUACCUAUUAGACUUGGAUAACUUCGGGAAACCGGAUCUAAUACCGGAUGAUUUUUUGAACCGCAUGGUUCAAAAGUGAAAGACGGUCUUUCUGUCACUUAUAGAUUGAUCCGCGCUGCAUUAUCUAGUUGGUAAGGUAACGGCUUACCAAGGCAACGAUGGAUACCCGACCUGAGAGGGAGGAUGGGCACACUGGAACUGAGACACGGUCGAGACACCGGCGGGAGGAAGCAGUAGGGAAUCCUACGGAAGGGGGGAAAGGGGAACGGAGGAAAGGCGAGGGAGUGAUGAAGGUGUAAGGAUGGGAAAACUCUGUUAUUAGGGAAGAAGAAAAGUGUAAGUAACAGUGAAGAUAAUGACGGUACCUAAUGAGAAAGCAACGGCUAACUACGUG